RNAcentral lists this ribosomal RNA (301 nucleotides) under uncultured bacterium. RNAcentral describes it as "partial 16S ribosomal RNA". It matches the Rfam family "Bacterial small subunit ribosomal RNA", at positions 509 to 807 of the family's 1533-position model. The record is from RNAcentral.
CAGUAGCCGCGGUAAUACGUAGGGUGCGAGCGUUAAUCGGAAUUACUGGGCGUAAAGCGUGCGCAGGCGGUUUUGUAAGACAGGCGUGAAAUCCCCGGGCUCAACCUGGGAAUGGCGCUUGUGACUGCAAAGCUAGAGUGCGGCAGAGGGGGGUAGAAUUCCACGUGUAGCAGUGAAAUGCGUAGAGAUGUGGAGGAAUACCGAUGGCGGAGGCAGCCCCCUGGGCCAAUACUGACGCUCAUGCACGAAAGCGUGGGGAGCAAACAGGAUUAGAUACCCCCGUAGUCCCUGUCUCUUAUAC